UACGUUCCCGGGCCUUGUACACACCGCCCGUCACACCACGAAAGUUGGUAACACCCGAAGCCGGUGGCCUAACCCUUUGGGAGGGAGCCGUCGAAGGUGGGAUCAGCGAUUGGGGUG
Molecule: ribosomal RNA, 117 nt
Filed under: uncultured bacterium
Lineage: Bacteria
Description: partial 16S ribosomal RNA
Rfam family: Bacterial small subunit ribosomal RNA
Source: RNAcentral